CUUGUUGAAAAAUAUAUAUUAUUGAAAAUUAAUUAAACUUUGAAUAUUUUAUUUUGGGGAGUGACAUUGAAAUACAACAGUAUUGGCACACAUUUUUCCUGUAAUUAACUUUUCACAAAUUUAAAGGGAUUCUUCCACAAGGUUUUAUAUUAAAAUGGAAUGUAUGAUGUGGGACAGGAGGUACUUGAGUAAAACUUGAUUGCAUUUUGUUUACAAUAGCUUCAGGAAUAAAGUUAAAGAUGAAUGUAUAAAA
RNAcentral lists this long non-coding RNA (253 nucleotides) under Mytilus galloprovincialis (Mediterranean mussel). Lineage: Eukaryota; Metazoa; Mollusca; Bivalvia; Mytilida; Mytilidae. The record is from RNAcentral.